UACAGAGGUCUCAAGCGUUGUUCGGAUUCAUUGGGCGUAAAGGGUGCGUAGGUGGCGCCGUAAGUCAGGUGUGAAAUCUCGGGGCUUAACUCCGAAACUGCGUUUGAUACUGCGGUGCUUGAGGACUGGAGAGGAGACUGGAAUUUACGGUGUAGCAGUGAAAUGCGUAGAGAUCGUAAGGAAGACCAGUGGCGAAGGCGGGUCUCUGGACAGUUCCUGACACUGAGGCACGAAGGCCAGGGGAGCAAACGGG
RNAcentral lists this ribosomal RNA (253 nucleotides) under uncultured bacterium. RNAcentral's name for it is "partial 16S ribosomal RNA". It matches the Rfam family "Bacterial small subunit ribosomal RNA", at positions 524 to 776 of the family's 1533-position model. The record is from RNAcentral.